CUCUCUCUCUCUCGCUCGCUCGCUCGCUCUCGCUCAUCGCUUUGAAGCCCUCUUCCAUCAAAUCCACUCGAAACCUCAGCGGCCAAUUAGAUUGCUUGCUUCAGCUCGCCCUCUCAAUUUUUGAACAGCCGUUUUAUUAAACAGGUCUUUAUAGCCAUGGAUGGAACCCUAAGCGAAGAUGAUGGCUUGAUAAGAGAUAGCCACAUGGAUCUCAACGAUUCCAUUACCGACCCUCGAAUGGCACUUGCUUUCACUGCCUUGGGGGUUGAGCUCAACACUACUAUGAUCCCAACUCACCUCCUCCACAUGGAGACUGCUGAAGUUGGAGAGCCGACCAUUGGCAUGGAGUUUGACUCUGACGAGGCGGCGAAGGAAUACUAUGUAGCCUAUGCCACUUGCAUAGGUUUCGGUGUUAGAAUGAAUAAAUCUCGUCGAUCUAGGAAAGAUGAUACUGUUAUCAUGCGACGGUUUGUGUGCACAAGAGAGGGAUUCCACUCCAAGAGGGUAAUUUAUGACGAUGGAAAGAAGAAGAGGAAGCGGGGGACAACCAGGGAAGGAUGUAUGGCCAUGAUUGAAGUAAUUAGAAAAGGACACGGGAAAUGGGUGGUUACUAAGCUCAUAACCGAUCAUACUCAUAUGGUUGCGAUCCCAUCCAAGGUCCGACCUCGUGUUGACAGAUCAAUGGUCUCCAGCAAUGCAUCGUUGCUUCAUGGGGAAUCAAGUGGGGGAUUUAAUAAUUUAAGGAACUUUAAUAGAGGAAUCAGGGUCAAUCCCUUUGGAGAAGGAGGAGAGGCUCAGGGACUGCUAGAGUACCUUCAAAGGAUGCAAGCUGAAAACCCUUCUUUCUUUUAUGCUAUUCAAGUUGAUAACAACAAUUGUAUGACCAAUGUAUUUUGGGCUGAUGCUAGGUCUAGAAUGGCCUACCAGCAUUUUGGUGAUGCUGUCACAUUUGACACAACCUACAAGAAGACUAAAUACAUGAUGCCUUUUGCGACAUUCAGGGGGAUGAAUCAUCAUUUGCAGUCGGUUACCUUUGGGUGUGCCUUGCUUAUGGAUGAGACCCGGGGUUCAUAUGUUUGGCUCUUUGAGACUUGGAUUGCAGCAAUGGGAGGCCAGCAUCCUGUUUCUUUGGUUACUGACAGAGAUAAAGCCAUGGAAGGAGCUAUCCUUAGGGUUUUUACAAAUACUCGUCACUUAUUUUGUAAACAGCACAUAUUAAGUAGAUCAAAGCAGAAGCUCUCUGAUAUCUAUUUGAAGCAUGGUACUUUGAAAAGGGAACUUAAAGAAUGCAUUAAUGGAUCUGAGACCAUCGAGGACUUCGAGACUCGUUGGGAGUACAUUCUUGAUAAGUAUAAUCUUUGGGAGAACCCAUGGUUACAUUUACUUUAUGAAAUCCGGGAACGAUGGUCCAUAGUGUACCACAAAGACAUCUUCUUCCCCGAAUUGUUAGCAUCUCAAAGAUCGGAGAGUUUGAACAAGUUUUUCAAGAGGAACUUUAAUACAAAGACCUCUCUACUUGUGUUUAUAUCAAGAUUUGAUCAAGCCAUGUCUUCUCAGUAUGAGAAAGAAGCACAAGCUGAUUAUGCCACAGUAUAUUCAAAGCCUCUUUUAAGGACCCCUUCGCCUAUGGAGAAACAAGCUGCCGAUAUUUACACGAAUGCCGUGUUCGACAAGUUUCAGGAAGAAUUCGUUGAAUCUUUAGGCUACUAUGUUGAGAAAAUCGAAGAUGGACCUGUUAGCAAGUACAGUGUGGCUAGAGAGGAGGAUAAUGGUAAGAGCUACAUUGUGAGUUUCAGCGAUUCUGAAAAGAAAGCAAACUGUAGCUGUUACAAGUUUGAAUACUGUGGGAUUUUAUGUAGACACGUGUUACGGGUCUUUUUUAUUGUUGGCGUCCGUAUUCUACCAGAACAGUACAUAUUGAAACGAUGGACAAGGAAUGCCACAAGCAAUGUAGUUCUAGAUGAAAGAGUUGUUGAUUCUGGACUUAGUUUUCAAGAGUAUCUUGUUGCUUGGUAUAAUGAUCUCUGCCUUGAUGCGGUUAAAUAUGGGAUGGAGGGGGCUACCUCUGCGGAGGUUUACAAGGUCGCAAAAAAUGCGAUUCAGAAAGCUUUUGCUGAAGUUGUUGGUGCAAAGAACAUGCAAAGAAAGGGACAACAGAAUAAUCAGAGGUUUGCUAGGAUGCAGAAGAUGCAAUACAAAAUGCCUUUACCAAAGUUGCAGCCAAAGAAGACGUCCUCAAGAGUAGUUCAACAUGAAGAAGCUGGUAGGAGUAAAAGAAAUGCUAAAGAAGACAUGCUGGAUGCAAAUGAUCCUGAUCUUAAUGGAGGUGCUCACUGAUGAAAGAUGCAGGCCUCUUGUGAUGAUUGACUACUUCUUAUACACAGUCCACGAGGUAUCAUAUAUCGAGGACAUUUUAAGCCACACCUCAUAUGAGACUAUUAGAUUGGGGUGUAAUAAUCUCUCUCUCCCCCCCACAUUUUAAGAUAGGCGGCCAAUGAAAUAAGUUUAAAGUUCAAGGGGGUUUGUUGAAAUAGUGCAAAGUUCAGGGUGAUUAUGUGCAAAAUCUCUAAGGAUCAGGGGAUUUUGUGAAACUUGCCCUAAUGGAAAAGCAACCUAGCCCCUUCUCUUCCUUCCUCGCGCCUCUCCCCUCUUUCAUUCUCCAUAUGUACAGUGGUUCCUCCAGCAUUAAGGCAUGAGUCAUAUUUUAAAGCCUGUGGUACGUAUUAUUUUGAGAAUCUGUUAGCAACAAUUUUACUUGUGUACAUAUAUUAAGUCACAUGUAAUACUGACAUAAGUAACGUAAACGAGGAAUUUCGUUGGUUCGAUCUGUGUGAUGCCUUGAAGCACUGGGGUGUUUAAUGUGAGAAAUGUAUUUUACAUUGUGCUCAUUGUUAUGUUCUCUUGGGCUCAAUAUAGAAUCUAUUGAGAUAGUGCUGCAGUGAGCCCUAUGUUGUAAUGUUGUUUUUUUUUGGCAGAGUGAGGCUUAUUUUUUUUUU
RNA transcript from Asparagus officinalis (garden asparagus), 2996 nucleotides. It is a transcript of the gene named protein FAR1-RELATED SEQUENCE 5-like, with no coding region annotated. The record is from RefSeq and is a predicted model, not a curated record. The transcript is spliced from 5 exons. NCBI's taxonomy places the organism in Eukaryota, Viridiplantae, Streptophyta, Magnoliopsida, Asparagales, Asparagaceae.